GUAGCCAAAGUCCCAGGACACAAAUCAAUAGCGCAAGUCGGCUGAGUAAGAGUUAGAGCUGGUUUCUCAUUUGACAUUUCGUGAUUGUUGUUCUGCACAGUCACUGUAAUGUAACCAUCUUUAAUUUAAACUGCGUUAUUGACUCAAGCUUGUUAAACAAACCUUUAUUGACAGGUUUAAGUUAUAAUGUUGACAAAAUGGGAGAAUCAAGGUGCAAAUCUACAGAUAAAAGAUUCUGGGGAAUCACAUCAUAGAAAUUAACAGAAAAAGUCUGAACCGUUACGUUCUCAUGAUAACGUGCUAAUGUUAGGGAAGAUGUCGUACUUAGUCAUUAGUGAAAACAUUUCAUUCAUUUCUGAUCUGAACAGACUCCCUUUGAUGUCUGCUAACACACCACGAUAUUUGUACGAAGAGACCCCAACAACAUACAAUGCAAAGAGAUAUUUCUCACAGCGUUCUAGUUUUAUUUUCGAAAUACUGACUUUUUAGCUUUGGAAAACACAACUUUAUGCUUAUAUGAUUCCUGAAAAUAUUCCAACUUCAGUAGCAAAAACUUUAUAGCUUUUCCCUUUUUAAACCAUCCCAAAUUGUGCAACUUUGCACGCAUGAAAAUUCUACUUCAUAUAUAUUCUAAAAGAAAAAUAAAAGGAGAACUGUACUGCUGAAUGGAUGAACUGGUUAACUGAUUGACACAAAAACAAACCUAUUUUCAUAAAUCAAUUGCUUGCUUUAGUUAU
Thalassophryne amazonica is the source of this 737-nucleotide long non-coding RNA. RefSeq lists it as uncharacterized. Lineage: Eukaryota; Metazoa; Chordata; Actinopteri; Batrachoidiformes; Batrachoididae. The record is from RefSeq and is a predicted model, not a curated record. The transcript has 2 exons.